RNAcentral lists this ribosomal RNA (894 nucleotides) under uncultured bacterium. RNAcentral describes it as "bacterial SSU rRNA". It matches the Rfam family "Bacterial small subunit ribosomal RNA", at positions 1 to 881 of the family's 1533-position model. The record is from RNAcentral.
UAGAGUUUGAUCCUGGCUCAGAAUCAACGCUGGCGGCGUGCCUAACACAUGCAAGUCGAACGCGAAAGGGGAGCAAUCCCUGAGUAGAGUGGCAAACGGGUGAGUAACACGUGGGUGAUCUGCCUUCGAGUGGGGGAUAACGUCCCGAAAGGGACGCUAAUACCGCAUAACAUCCUGCUUUUAGAGAGGUGGAGAUCAAAGCUGGGUCGCAAGGCCUGGCGCUUGAAGAGGAGCCCGCGCCUGAUUAGCUAGUUGGUGGGGUAAUGGCUCACCAAGGCGACGAUCAGUAUCCGGCCUGAGAGGGCGGACGGACACACUGGGACUGAGACACGGCCCAGACUCCUACGGGAGGCAGCAGUGGGGAAUUGUUCGCAAUGGGCGCAAGCCUGACGACGCAACGCCGCGUGGAGGAUGAAGAUCUUCGGGUCGUAAACUCCUGUCGAGCGGGACGAAUGUCUCGCGGUCUAAUACAUCGCGAGAGUGACGGUACCGCUAAAGGAAGCCCCGGCUAACUCCGUGCCAGCAGCCGCGGUAAUACGGGGGGGGCAAGCGUUGUUCGGAAUUACUGGGCGUAAAGGGCUCGUAGGUGGCCAACUAAGUCAGACGUGAAAUCCCCAGGCUCAACUUGGGAACUGCGUCUGAUACUGGAUGGCUUGAAUUCGGGAGAGGGAUGCAGAAUUCCAGGUGUAGCGGUGAAAUGCGUAGAUAUCUGGAGGAAUACCGGUGGCGAAGGCGGCAUCCUGGACCGAUAUUGACACUGAUGAGCGAAAGCCAGGGGAGCAAACGGGAUUAGAUACCCCGGUAGUCCUGGCCCUAAACGAUGAAUGCUUGGUGUGACGGGUAUCGAUCCCUGUCGUGCCGAAGCUAACGCAUUAAGCAUUCCGCCUGGGGAGU